RNAcentral lists this ribosomal RNA (481 nucleotides) under Anoxybacillus pushchinoensis. RNAcentral's name for it is "bacterial SSU rRNA". It matches the Rfam family "Bacterial small subunit ribosomal RNA", at positions 28 to 492 of the family's 1533-position model. Lineage: Bacteria; Bacillati; Bacillota; Bacilli; Caryophanales; Anoxybacillaceae. The record is from RNAcentral.
GACGAACGCUGGCGGCGUGCCUAAUACAUGCAAGUCGAGCGGACGAUUCGAAAGCUUGCUUUUGAAUCGUUAGCGGCGGACGGGUGAGUAACACGUGGGCAACCUGCCCUGUAGACGGGGAUAACACCGAGAAAUCGGUGCUAAUACCGGAUAACACGAAAUGUCGCAUGACGUUUCGUUGAAAGACGGCGCAAGCUGUCGCUACAGGAUGGGCCCGCGGCGCAUUAGCUAGUUGGUGAGGUAACGGCUCACCAAGGCGACGAUGCGUAGCCGACCUGAGAGGGUGAUCGGCCACACUGGGACUGAGACACGGCCCAGACUCCUACGGGAGGCAGCAGUAGGGAAUCUUCCGCAAUGGACGAAAGUCUGACGGAGCAACGCCGCGUGAGCGAAGAAGGCCUUCGGGUCGUAAAGCUCUGUUGUUAGGGAAGAACAAGUAACGUAGUAACUGGCGUUACUGUGACGUACCUAACGAGAAGCC